Molecule: non-coding RNA, 27 nt
Filed under: Mus musculus (house mouse)
Lineage: Eukaryota; Metazoa; Chordata; Mammalia; Rodentia; Muridae
Source: RNAcentral
UAUGAGUAGACUGGAGGGACAUAUAGA